Molecule: unclassified non-coding RNA, 723 nt
Filed under: Hevea brasiliensis (rubber tree)
Lineage: Eukaryota; Viridiplantae; Streptophyta; Magnoliopsida; Malpighiales; Euphorbiaceae
Source: RNAcentral
CACCGUCUCUUUUUCUCUUUUUCUCUCUCGUUUUGUUUUUUUGCAAUGGACAGCACUAGUCAUGAUUCUGAGCUUCGACUUCGAGGAGCCUCCGAUGACGUGUCCGAUUCCGGAGAUCGGACGCGGCAUGAGUCUGGUGGUGCCAGGUACAAGCUGAUGUCCCCGGCGAAGCUUCCGAUCUCGAGGUCGCCCUGCAUCACGAUCCCUCCGGGUCUUAGUCCGACGUCGUUUCUUGAGUCCCCUGUUCUGCUCUCUAAUGUUAAGGCGGAACCUUCUCCAACUACUGGUUCGUUUACUAACCCUCAAACAGGACAUGGCUUUCUUAUCUCCAAUUCAUUUUCAAUGACAGUUCCCUCAAAUGCCCAUGGAGAAAGAAAAUCCAGCUGCUUUGAGUUUAGACCCCAUGCUAUAUCAAACUUGGUUCCUGCAGAUAUGAACCACCAAAGAAGUGAACAAUCUGUUCAAGUUCAAGGCCAGUGUCAGUCUCAGUCACAUGCAUCAUCACCUACAGUCAAAAGCGAGAUGGCAGUCCCCUUGAAUGAGUUGAGUCUAUCAGCACCACUUCCUAUGGUUACUUUAGGGUCUAGUGCUCCUACUCAAGUUGAUUCAGAUGAUUUAAACCAGAUGGGGAUUUCCAACAGUGGGCUUCAGACAUCACAACCUGAUCAUAAAGGUGGAAGUAGUCUUUCAAUGCCAUCUGAUGAUGGAUAUAACUGGAGAAAA